AGAGAAAGAGAAAAUGUGGAAGGAUUUCUGAUAAGUGAGGCAACGAAUAGCUUUAGGGGGCGAGUAGAGAAAAAGCUUCAGGAAAAUUAACUGUUUCUGACAUAAUUUCUAUCCUUUAAAUGUGAAAAAGUUUACAGUGCAGAUGCUAUGGACUUUAAUAAACACAGAAACUAAAGCUGCUGUAAUACUUUGUCCCUCAUUUAUAACAUUUUGCAAAGAGUUAUCUGAUUAUUUGUUCUCUGGAUCUUUUUAGUUAACCUAAAAUUCACUGAGGCCUUAAAAAGCAUUUAGGAAAUACCUGAUAGAUUUUUGGCAGUAAACGGCAUCAUGCCGCACCACGUACAAGCUCAGUGGUCUGUUGUCAAAUACAGAGCUCCCUGAAAUGCACAGUAAUAGUGGACAAAGAGGUAAUGGGGUACAGCGAGAGCACAGGUGGAGCCAAGACUGGAAAGCAGGAAACAUAAGUAUAAACAGCGACUUCCCUAUGCUUGAGAGGGUCCUUGUUAAUUGAAAAUAAACGUUGAUUCUUGCUGUUUGCUUGGCUGGUUUUAAAGCGUACAGCCUUGCCUGUGUACUAAAAAUGUGUUUUCUCGUUCCAUCUUUUGAAGCCUGUGGCUUUAUUACUACCUCUCUUUCAAUGAUUUCAAAGAGAUGGUGUCAGAACAGUACUUUAAAUGGAGCAGACAGGCUUCUUUAGAGGUUUUUACUCUGAUCUGCUAGGUUCUGAAAAUGCUUUGUUUGGCUUUCCUCUAUUUCUAGAGGGUGGACAGGAUAGUUCUAAAGCAGUUAUUGGCUUUCCUGUAUAGUUAAUAGCAUCUAUGUUGGAAGAUGCAACAAUUCUGGGAGGAUGAAUGUAUAAGCAAAAUGGAGAGGUAGAGGUAUUUAUUAACAUCAUCUGUCUGGUAUAUAGAGCUGAAGCGUGUAAUAUAUAUUUCCUUUAUGCCUUUCUGCACUAAAUUGAAAAGGGUAGUUGAAAGAGGGGUGCACAUUUUUGUGGUAUUUGUUAUAAAAAUAUAUUUACUGAAGCCUGCAAAAUGAACUGAAGUCUGCCAAGUAAAGAAUAACGACAUUUUAUGUUUUCAGUUUGUAGAUCUUCUCGAUACCUGUGGGAGCUGCAUGCACAGCCAGAUGUAAUAAUCUCUGCAGGUGAAAAUUCUGAAAAUACUUGUCUGCGUACAAGCGUGGCUUCAGGUCUCAGAAGAGUAUGUUUAUCCUCAAAAUUAAUGUUGCUACAGUUUUGGAGAAACCACUGCAAAGAGUUGAAUUACUUGCCAAACCCCAACCCUGCAAAUCAGUGACAAAGAUGAAGAUAGCGCCUAGCCUGCAGCUAGUAUUAUGAAAUUAAUGAAAUACGUACUUCCAGAUCUCCUGAGAUAUUGGCUCCUGCAAGAAUGCCAGUGGCAGCUGGGAAAAAAAUGGCAAACACCGAGAAAAAUCCUUCUCCACUCCUGAAAUCU
Molecule: long non-coding RNA, 1457 nt
Organism: Cuculus canorus (common cuckoo)
Lineage: Eukaryota; Metazoa; Chordata; Aves; Cuculiformes; Cuculidae
Exons: 3
Source: RefSeq, a predicted model, not a curated record